AGCCAGACUCCUACGGGAGGCAGCAGUGGGGAAUAUUGCACAAUGGGGGAAACCCUGAUGCAGCGACGCCGCGUGAGCGAUGAAGUAUUUCGGUAUGUAAAGCUCUAUCAGCAGGGAAGAAAAUGACGGUACCUGACUAAGAAGCCCCGGCUAACUACGUGCCAGCAGCCGCGGUAAUACGUAGGGGGCAAGCGUUAUCCGGAUUUACUGGGUGUAAAGGGAGCGUAGACGGCUGUGCAAGCCAGAUGUGAAAGCCCGGGGCUCAACCCCGGGACUGCAUUUGGAACUGUGUGGCUGGAGUGUCGGAGAGGCAGGCGGAAUUCCUAGUGUAGCGGUGAAAUGCGUAGAUAUUAGGAGGAACACCAGUGGCGAAGGCGGCCUGCUGGACGAUGACUGACGUUGAGGCUCGAAAGCGUGGGGAGCAAACAGGAUUAGAUACCCUCGUAC
This 447-nucleotide ribosomal RNA is filed under the name uncultured bacterium. RNAcentral's name for it is "bacterial SSU rRNA". It matches the Rfam family "Bacterial small subunit ribosomal RNA", at positions 329 to 793 of the family's 1533-position model. The record is from RNAcentral.